AAUUAGCCCCGAUGGAAAUGGAAAUCCUUUUUUUUCUGAAUUUUUUCAGAAAAAAAGAUUGAAAUGUACAGCGGGACGACUC
RNAcentral lists this small RNA (82 nucleotides) under Flavobacterium fryxellicola. RNAcentral describes it as "Flavo-1 RNA". It matches the Rfam family "Flavo-1 RNA". Lineage: Bacteria; Pseudomonadati; Bacteroidota; Flavobacteriia; Flavobacteriales; Flavobacteriaceae. The record is from RNAcentral.